UUGCCACCAUCUCUCGAGUUUUAUUCUACCUUCCUGCACAUUAAUUUGCUGCACAUUUCGCUUCAAUUCCUUUUCCUUCGACCAGUUAUUUUUUGUGUGAAACUUUGCAAAGAUGGAAUUACUCGAUGAAGGACAAAUUAAAAUCUUAACGAACGCUUUCAAAGCCUUCGACACUGAUGGAUUUGUGCUCACUCAGGAUAUCGGAACUAUUCUUGAGAUGUUAGGACACAAGUUGGACGAUCAAACCCUGAAAUCCGUGAUAAGGCCCCAUGAUCCAAGGCAAACAGGAAAAUUAAAUUUUGAACAAUUCUGCAGUCUUGCUGGAGAUUAUGUGGACGUUGAGGAAGAUCAAGAUGCAAUUCGAGCUGAAUUGAGAGAAGCUUUCUUGUUGUAUGACAAAUAUGGUGUUGGCUACUUAACUACGGAAGUUCUCAGAGAUAUUCUGCAUGAGCUCGAUGACAAGAUUAGCGAGGAAGAUCUCGAUAUGAUGAUUGAUGAAAUUGAUGCAGAUGGUUCAGGAACUGUUGAUUUUGAAGAAUUUAUGGAAGUGAUGACUGGUGAGUGAAGAAAGAACAUAUUUCUUCAUAACACUUUGAAUUAUGUAUGGCUUUUACGGCUUUUUACUAAAGUGUAAAUAUAGUGAUUGUGCUUCUGUCGCGAUGUAGUCUUGUGUCAAAUGUAUCAUGUAUGUUAAAAAAAAAUGUUAAAUUAAACGCACGAACCAGGACAUCAAAAUUACAAAGCUGACAGCAAUUUAUCCCAACAUUAAUUUAUUUGAGAACAAUAAAUGAAAGAUAAAUGCGAA
This is an RNA transcript of Lutzomyia longipalpis, 805 nucleotides long. It is a transcript of the gene named troponin C, isoallergen Bla g 6.0101-like, with no coding region annotated. The record is from RefSeq and is a predicted model, not a curated record. NCBI's taxonomy places the organism in Eukaryota, Metazoa, Arthropoda, Insecta, Diptera, Psychodidae. The transcript has 6 exons.